UGCUUUUCGAGUUUGCAUUUCUUUUAUUUGCAUCGGUUUUUUAAUUUGCUUGAUUAUUUGGAUUUUUAUUUUAGAAACCUAAUUCACCCCCCCUCUUAGGUUGCCAUUUUGAUGACCUCGUUGUGAUGUUGUAUUGUUGAUCUGAUUUUUUGCGCUAGCAAAAAUGGCUAAGUCUCAGGUAGUUGUAUUGGACACGGUAAAUGGUUCACAGUGUUUAGACACGGUGAACCAUUCACCGUGUUUGAACACGGUGAAUAGUUCACCGUGUCCAAUGUAUUAUGGACACUCUGGCUUGGACACGUAUAAUACAUUGGACACGGUAAACAGUUCACCGUGUUUAGACACGGUGAACCAUUCAACGUGUCUAAUGUAUUAUGGCCACUCUGGCUUGGGCGCGUAUAAUACAUUGGACACGGUGAACUAUUCACCGUGUUUAGACACGGUGAAUGGUUCACCGUGUUCAGCUUAAUUACCUGGCCCCAGCCCUGCCCACGUGGCGCUGACGUGGCGCUUGCGUGGCAGGGGCAGGGCUAUUUUUGCAAUUUCAAUUUUGAUAGGGAUAAUUUUAAAAUAAAAAUUUCUCAAGGGGCUAUUUGCAAAAAAAUCCCUAAACGAGUGAUUAAACGAGCCAAACACGAGCUAGCUCGUUAAAGUAUCGAGCCGAAAAAUUCAACUCGUGUUUGGCUCGUUAAUAAACAAACCGAACACGAGCUAGCCAACGAACAAUAAGUUAAAAGGAUUAGAUUGAAUAUAUAAAAAAAAUAAAUUUAUAAAAUCUUUAUCCAUUAUACUUUGAUCUAAUAGUUGAAACUUUACAUAUAAAUGAGUCUUUUUAUAAUUAAGCUCGCCUUUAUAUUUUUAUUUUGCUAAAAAUUAAAUAAUAAAAAUAUGUAUUAUAUAUAUAACUAUUUAUUAAUAUAUAUAAAUAUAAAUUAAAUAAAUUAUAUAAAUAUAAAAUAUAUGUAUUCGAGCUGUUAUCGAGCCGAACACGAGCGAGCUAACCUCAGCUCGUGUUCUGCUCGUUUAAUAAAUGAGCCGAAAAAUUCAGCUCGUGUUCUUACUAAACGAGCGAUUCGAUCUCGAGCUCAUUUCGAGCCGAACACGAGCUGGCUNAUAUAUGUAUUCGAGCUGUUAUCGAGCCGAACACGAGCGAGCUAACCUCAGCUCGUGUUCUGCUCGUUUAAUAAAUGAGCCGAAAAAUUCAGCUCGUGUUCUUACUAAAC
RNAcentral lists this long non-coding RNA (1223 nucleotides) under Ananas comosus (pineapple). RNAcentral describes it as "long non-coding RNA (ACOM_LNC007289)". Lineage: Eukaryota; Viridiplantae; Streptophyta; Magnoliopsida; Poales; Bromeliaceae. The record is from RNAcentral.